CUUGUGCCAGCAGCCGCGGUAAUACAGAGGGUGCAAGCGUUAAUCGGAAUUACUGGGCGUAAAGCGCCCGUAGGUGGUUCGUUAAGUUGGAUGUGAAAUCCCCGGGCUCAACCUGGGAACCGCAUUCAAAACUGACGAGCUAGAGUAUGGUAGAGGGUGGUGGAUUUCCUGUGUAGCGGUGAAAUGCGUAGAUAUAGGAAGGAACACCAGUGGCGAAGGCGACCACCUGGACUGAUACUGACACUGAGGUGCGAAAGCGUGGGGAGCAAACAGGAUUAGAU
RNAcentral lists this ribosomal RNA (281 nucleotides) under uncultured Pseudomonadales bacterium. Its description in RNAcentral is "partial 16S ribosomal RNA". It matches the Rfam family "Bacterial small subunit ribosomal RNA", at positions 502 to 783 of the family's 1533-position model. Lineage: Bacteria; Pseudomonadati; Pseudomonadota; Gammaproteobacteria; Pseudomonadales. The record is from RNAcentral.